Molecule: long non-coding RNA, 837 nt
Organism: Heterocephalus glaber (naked mole-rat)
Lineage: Eukaryota; Metazoa; Chordata; Mammalia; Rodentia; Bathyergidae
Source: Ensembl
GUGAGUUGUCUCAGAGAAUGCCUAGAUAGCAGAUGGUUGGCAUUCUUACUGGAACUGUUUACGCAUCAGAAAGUAUAGUGAUCACCAACUGUAUCCGGAAAAAAAUAGCAACAAUACACACAGAAGAGAUGCCGAGCAAUAGGACAACUUUCAGCAAAACACAGUAUCAAUGGUACAGACACGGCAACCAUGGCGAAUGGCAAAACCUACAAAAGAAGAGCCCGGCGCGGCGCCGAUCCCGGGCCAGCUCCGCGGGAGUCUCAGCGAGGAUGAAACUCGGAACCUCACGGACCUCGAGUGCAACCCUGCCAGGCGACAUCCUGGAUCUCCUGGAUCGACCCCCGCGCCCCAGGACAGGGAGAGUUCGACGCUCCCAAGUAGGGAGUCUCCAUGGAGGAAUUCGUCCUGCUUCACUUCCAGAGUUGAAAGCCCGGCAGCCGUCGGUUCUGCAAAGAGGAGCAGUCGGGCGCGGGCUAGAGAGCAGCUGAUGAAAAUAAUUGUCUUCGAACACACAGCCCUGCGCCCAGGGGCGCGCGUGUGCACACACACACACACACAACUUGCCCCCUCUAGCUACCCAACCUUAGUAUUCCGGGCAUGCGGUUUUCAACAACUUGCUUGACACAAUAACAAAGACAUUUAAAUGCCAGGACGCAGACUUCACUUUUUAACCUGCUGAGAGGAGCUACUUUCAAAGCUUCCCCACCGCGAAGAAACUGACAAAAAAUAUGGGGUGCGCUUAUAAAUUAAACACCUUACCGUCAAAGCUAUGUGCGUUAAUCAGGUUUCUAAGGCAGUAGCCAUCUCUGUCUUUUCCUAUUCACCCAAAUAAUGCCC